UAUAUAUAUAUCUGUGUGUGUAGAGCUACUAUAUUUUCGGAAAUAUAAAAUAGUUGAAAUUUCUGAUUUUUUGAUUCUUCAAUUAAGAAUUGUAAAAUUGGAAUUAUAAUUGUCCCCCAUGGAAUUGACUGGUCCCUGGGAUUGAGUGGUCCCCCUAAAGUAAAAAUAUUAUUCCAAGGGCUUGAAAUGAUCAAAGUGUUUGAUUCAAGAGUUAAAAAAUUGAAACCACCAUAUGAGCGGCAUAAUAGGACUCUCUCUCUCUCUCUCUCUCUCUCUCUCUCUAUAUAUAUAUAUAUAUCAAAAAAUCAACCGAUUUUGAUUCUUUUACACCAUUAAACUAGCGAAUAUCGCAUAUCGACCGUUAAAAAUUAUCAAUUUUGUGACAUUUUGAUCGUAAGGUAAAUGAUGUCGAAAAAUUAUGAAAUUUGAUUUUUAUAAAUUUUAAAUGCUCAAGAUAAUGUUUAAUGAUAUGGAUCGUCGAUUCGGAAGCUCUAUCAUCGAAAACGACUUAUGAGUACGAGGACGAUCGUACUCAUAAGAGUAUAGUAGCUGAACUCUAUAUAUAUAGAGAGAGAGAGAUAGUUGGGCUAGAAUAUUAUUGAUAGCAAAAAAUUCUUUUUGUUAUCAAAUUUUUAGCCUUUGAAUCAACUCCUUUCCUUUCAUCAUUUUCAACAAUUGGAUUAACUAUUAUAACAUAGUGGGGACCACUCAACCCUAAGGGAUUAAUAUCAUCCUAAUCUUAAAAUUUUUUAUCCAAGAGUUAAAAACUUGAUAGCAAAAAUAGUCUUUUGCGAUCAACAGUAUUCCAGUCCAACUCUCUCUCUCUCUCUCUCUCUCUCUCUCUCUCUCUCUCUCUCUCUCUCUCUCUCUCUCUCUCUCUCUAUAUAUAUAUAUAUAUAUAUAUAAAGUUGAGCUAGAAUACUACCGAUAGCAAACGGGCUCCGUUGCCACCCAUUUGUUUUCGAUGAUAUAGCCUCCAAAUCGACAGUCGGUACCGUUGAACAUGAUCUAUACCACUUAAAGUAUUUAGAAAUCAAAUUUCAAAUCUUUUCGAUAUCAUUUACCUAAUGAUCAAAGGGUUUCAAAAUUUGUAAUUUUAAUGGUCGAUGUGAAGCGUUUUCUCGUUUAAUGGCAUAAAGAUAUUCAAAUCAAUUGAAUUUUUGUUAGAAAAUUUUUUAAACUAUUUAAAACAAGAUCUGUACUCUUGAUCUUGAUUACAAGACUCCUAUCAUCAUUUUUUAAAGAAUAUUAAUUUUCAGCCGUUCAUUUUUUAUGUCCACUUGAUGGAUAAGAAAAUAAUAUAAAAAAUGUAUGAAAUUUGAUUUCUAAACACUUCAAGUAGAAUAGAUCAUGUUCAACAGUGCCGAUCGUCGAUUUGGAGGCUCCAUCAUCGAAAACAAAUGGGUGGCAACGGAGCCCGUUUGCUAUUGAUAGUAUUCUAGCCCAACUCUCUCUCUCUCUCUCUCUCUCUAUAUAUAUAUAUAUGCUUUUAAAAGUACCAAGUCAUUGGUGCUUGUAAGUUUUCGGCCCUUGGAUUAAGGAAUGUGCGGUUACGAUGAUAUGGGCACCCUAGGGUUGAGUGGGUGGUUGGUUGAAUAGUAUAAUCUAACGGGUGAAAAUGAUCAAAGGUGUCGAUCUAACGGAAAAAAAUUUAGAAGCACCAAGUGCUUGGUGCUUUUAUAAGCACCGUAGCCGGACUAUAUAUAUAUAUAUAUAUUAGUAACAACUCUUAAACCAUGUUAUUUGAAAUUAAAAUUGAGUCAGUAGGGAAUGACUUAGGAAUAAUCUUUACAAGCCCUAAUUUUAUUUGGAUAUUGCAGCUUUUUAGUUUAGAUAGAUUCUGUAUGGCCCAUGGCCCUAUCUCUAAAAAACAGGCCAUUAGUGAUCCACCAGGAUCCAGGUUGUAAAGUUUGGUUUAACUAGGCAUAUCAAUGUGUAGGAAUACUCAAAAUUUUAUCCGAAUCUAAAUCUGAACGGAGCGAAUUUAUUCAAUUUUAAAUAGAUAUAAUUUUGGAUACGAAUAUAAAAAACGAAAGCACGGCGGAUUUGGGUUUGGAUAUAGAUUUUGUUUAUACUUGAGCUCGACCCAAACCCGAAUUGAUUUUGUAUUAUAGAAUAUAUCCUAUUUAUAUUUGAAUUUGUAUUUUAAAAAUUUAGACUUAAUAUAAUAUGUUUUGAAAUACGUUAAAGAGAAAUAAUUGUUUCGCAUUCGAAUUUCAGAAUUUUGGUCGGGUUCAGAUCUGGAUAUGGAUUUUUAAAAUCCGUUGAAUUUGAGUUCGUCUUCGGAUUCGGGUUUUGGAUUUGAUAUUUGGUUGUCCCGAAUCCGACCUGUUGACAUUCCACGGUUGACCAAAAGAGAGAGAGGGGAGGGACCUAAAAUGUUGGACCUCUUUAUCAAUGAUUCAAAGGAUCUGAGUCGUCAAGUUUGGCUUGAGUUGAUACAUUAACUGUUAGGAUUUAGUUAGAUUUGUAGUUGAAUCCUAGUUAAAUAAGAAUUAAUAUUUAAAUCUGUUGGAGAUAAAUUAAGAUUUAAAUAUUAAUUAGAGGAUAAACCUAACUAGAUUAGGAUUAAUAUUUAAAUCUNAGGAGACAAGCUCAAGGUGGAGCUUGCAUGGUGAGCUCGACGUGACGGUUGAAAAUUACAAAUCCAACCAAGGUAGAGAUUGUUAAGAUUUGGUUAGAUUUGUAAUUGAAUCCUGUUUGGAUAAUAAUUAAUAUUUAAAUCUGUUGGAGAUAAAUUAAGAUUUAAAUAUUAAUUAGAGGAUAAACCUAACUAGAUUAGGAUUAAUAUUUAAAUCUACUAGAGAUUAAUUAAGAUAGAUUUAGAUAUUAAUUAGAGUAGAAAUCCUAAAUAUACUAGAAUUGGGUACAUUCUAGUUAGAGCAUUAUAUAUAAUGCAUUAGAGUCUUUUUUUUGAAGGAGUACUGGCAUUGGUGUGUCGUACUAGAGAGAGAAAAAGAGAGAGAGUUAUUUUAGUGCACCUUGUGCACGGGUGCACGCUGAGAGGUCUUCUUUGUGGGUUCAUAGAAGACGAGAGAAAGGUAGGAAAGAUUCAAAAAGAGGGAUAGGGUUGUAGCUACUCUGUUGCAGAAGAGGAGUCAGGUGUAAUCUUCUCUUAUUUAAUGAAUCUUAUUUUACCCGCAUAUUUUCUGUUUUGGUUUUUUCUCUCUUUUAUGAUUGUAUCAACUUUUGCUGAGGAGACGGAUUUAUGGUAAAAACGCGAUUCAACGCUUCCGUUGCGAAAUCCCAACAAUCGAUACUGGACCCACAGCAGUCGGUAUCGGAGCGGGUUGCGGAUUCACGAGAUCCGGUACCGGGGUGAGUACCAGAUUCCUAACAAGUGGUAUCAGAGCCGAAGGUUACCGAUCUGCUGGAGAGAUCGACGGAGAUGGCCACGAAAUUCGAAAUCGAGAAGUUCGACGGCAAGACAAUUUCGGAUUAUAGCAAAUUAAAGUGCGAGCAAUCCUCGUACAGCAAGAGUUAGACGAGACGUUGAACGGGAAGGAGGCAAAGCCGGCGGAGGUCACGGAUGCAGCAUGGACGAAGAUGGAGCGGAAGGUGCUGAGUACGCUUCAUCUAUCAUUAGCAGAUGAGGUUCUUUACAAUGUAGCCGGCGAGACGACACCGGUGAAAUUGUGGAAGAAAUUGGAAGAUCUGUACAUGACCAAAUCCCUGACGAACAAAUUGUAUCUAAAGCAGCGACUGUUUACGUUGCGGAUGCAAGAAGCGGCGAACCUACAUGAUCAUCUAAAUGAGUCAACAAGGUGGUGGCCCAGUUGACCAGCAUCGGAGUCAAUCUGGAUGACGAAGACAAGGCAUUGAUCCUACUAUCUUCGCUACCGACGACAUAUGAGUAUCUGGUGACCACGUUGCUUUAUGGCAAGGAGUCCAUAAGCGUGGAUGCGGUCACGGCGGCGCUUCUCUCGAACGAGAUGCGGAAGAUGACUCAGGAGUCCGGCACGCAAAGUUAGGAUGUAGGACUGGUGGUGACUGCGAAGAAGGACGUGAGAAUAUCGGCGACCGGAUAUCGACAGAAGAAAUCGCUAUCUGAGGUAGAAUGCUUUUACUGUCACAGGAAGGGGCAUAUCAAGCGCAAUUGUCGAAAACUUCAGGAUGAUCUGAAAGAGUUAAAGCGACAGAAGGAGCAAACUGUCGUGAACCAGGACGAGACGGUAUCAGCGACGGCACAGAUAGCAGAGUCGGAGAUGAUCGAUUCUGAUGUGCUGUAUGCGGCGAUCGGAGGUGCGAAAAUUUCGGACGAUGCGUGGGUGCUCGAUUCGGCGUGUUCUUUUCACGUAUGCCCGGAGAAGGAGUCUUUUGCCACCUAUAAGCCGAUAAAAGGUGGAAAGGCGCUGAUCGGGAACGGGACAGCGUGCAAAGUAUUGGGAGUCGGCAUGGUGAAAAUUCGAAUGCACGAUGGGGUCGUGAGGACGCUGACAGGUGUGCGGCACGUUCCUGGAUUGAAGCGGAAUUUGAUCUCGUUAGGCGCAUUGGACUCGAAAGGUCGCGAUAUUUCGGCUUCAGGUGGAGCUAUGAGGGUCCGAAAACGAGAUCGGGUCGUGUGCGAGGCGAACAAGCGUGGGAACUUAUACGUUCUGAACGGGAGCAUAGUCUGAACGGAAGCAAAGACGGUUUGGGUUCCAAAAGUUCGUGGAGGUGCAGUCGCUCUAGGCGAAGCGACGGAUGCGGCGACAUCGAGCGGAGGAGACAAGCUCAAGGUGGAGCUUGCAUGGUGAGCUCGACGUAGCGGUUGAAGACUACAAAUCCAACCAAGAUGGAGAUUGUUAGGAUUUAGUUAGAUUUGUAGUUGAAUCCUAGUUAGAUAAAAAUUAAUAUUUAAAUCUGUUGGAGAUAAAUUAAGAUUUAAAUAUUAAUUAGAGGAUAAACCUAACCAGAUUAGGAUUAAUAUUUAAAUCUACUAGAAAUUAAUUAAGAUAGAUUUAUAUAUUAAUUGGAGUAGAAAUCCUAAAUAUACUAGAAUUGGGUACAUUCUAGUUGGAGCAUUAUAUAUAAUGCAUUAGAGUCUUUUUUUUGGAGGAGUACGGCUGGAACCAUUGGGGUAUCGUAUCAGAGAGAGAAAGAGAGAGAGAGUUAUUUUAGUGCACCUUGUGCACGGGUGCACGCUGAGAGGUCUUCUUUGUGGGUUCAUAGAAGACGAGAGAAGGGUAGGAAAGAUUCAAAAAGAGGGCUAGGGUUGUAGCUACUCUGUUGCAGAAGAGGAGUCAGGUGUAAUUUUCUCUUAUUUAAUGAAUCUUAUUACCCGCAUAUUUUCUAUUUUGGUUUUUUUCUCUCUUUUAUGAUUGUAUCAACUUUUGCUGAGGAGACGGAUUUAUGGUAAAAACGCGAUUCAACGCUUCCGUUGCGAAAUGCCAACAAUCGAUACCGGAUCCACAGCAGUCGGUAUCGGAGCGGGUUGCGGAUUCAUGAGAUCCGGUACCGGGGCGAGUACCGGAUUCCUAACAUUAACACCGUUCGAAGGACAUGUUUUUCACGUACGAACUCUGAUCACAACUAUUUUUUAUUGUACGCAUGCAAAUCGAGGAGAAGUAGUUGGGCUUCGGUAACCAAACUUAGUACACAAGUACUACUAAGUUCGGUAUAAGUUUUAGAACGUUUUCAGGUCCUUUCGGCCUUUGGAAUCAUAAUUAAAGUUCGGCUUGUCAUUCAACAAAAGUUUAAGCAAAGUUCGACUUUCCAUUCAAAAAAAAAAAAUUUAUCAUGAAUAUUUUUUAUUUGUAAGGAAUAGGAUUUCAUAUGUAGUAAAUUUUGAUGCACUCCAUCAAUUCUUUUCGUAUUAUUAGACUGAUUUUUCAAAAAAGAUGGUUGUAAUCUUUUUGAUAAAAAAAAUAAUGUAAUAAAAAUAAUAUUUAAUUUUGGCUAACAUCUCUUCUCUAUACUACUUUAAUUCCGCGGGCUUACCGAGUAGGCCCGGCCCAAAAUAGGGAUAAUUGCCUAUAUACCCCCUUAAAACUUUGAAAAUAUCUCAUUUACUCCUUUUUUUUUUUUUCUUUCCAAUAUACCCCUCAUAUGUUCUUCCAUUAUUCCAAAAUACCUCUACAGUUACUACUCGUUAGAUUAACUUGCUAGAGUUAAAAAAAAUCAAAAUGCUUAUUUUGCCUCAACUGAAGGGCAAAUAAGAAAUGUUGGUGAUUGUAGAAGGAUAUAUUUGAAGAGACUAAAAAUUAAAAUACUUUUUGUGCCCCUAACUUAAGAGCAAAUAAGAAAAGUUGGUGAUGGUGGAAGGGUACAUUUAAAAGGGCAAAAUAGUAAUUUUAUACAGAUAACAGCUAUUGCUAAUAGUUCAUUAAUUAACAGAAUUUAACUCUAGGGGUAUAUUUGAAAUAUAUUGGAACGUAAAAAAGGUAUUUUCAAAAUUAGCCUUCUAAGAAAGAUAAAUCAGAAAGUCGAGAACUUUUCAGGAGAAUAUAAACAAUUGUCCCUUAUAAAUAUUACUAAAAUUAUUUAAAAAAUAUGUAAAAAUCUAAAAUUAUUUAAAAAUUAUGUAAUUUUUCUUGUAAAUAAAUAAAUAAUUGUAUAUUUUAUAGAAAUAAUAUUAAAAAUUUUAAAAGUAAAUUUUUUAAAAAAUGACGAAUAUAAACAAUUGUCCCUUAUAAAUAUUACUAAAAUUAUUUAAAAAAUAUGUAAAAAUCUAAAAUUAUUUAAAAAUUAUGUAAUUUUUUUUGUAAAUAAAUAAUUGUAUAUUUUAUAGAAAUAAUAUUAAAAAUUUUAAAAGUAAAAUUUUUUAAAAAUGAAAAGAUUAAUUAAAACUUAAAAAAGGCCUUAGGCCUUAGAAGUUACACCAUAGGCUAAUUCGAGGAAUCUGAUCAAGAAGAUUCAAACAAACGCAAGAUUUUUUUUUUUUUUCGAUAAUAGUAGUUCUCGGUUACCUAAAAUAACCUAGUAUAACUAUCCCUACCAACAACUCUAUUUUUUAUAUAUAACUAUCCACUAUUUUUCUUAUUCCAUAUUAUCUAUCCAAAUUCUAUUUUUCUUAUUCCUGGAACAACUCAAUUUUUAUCCAAACGCUAUUUUUCUUAUCCCCAUACUUGUACCUAUCCCCGUAAUAGCUAGUUCAAUUUUAUUUUAAGAAAGAAUAGUUAAUCCGUCUAAUGGGGAAAAUUUUGUUUUGUUUAUUUAUUUUAAAUUCUAUAAAUAUUUAAAAAAAUUUAAAAAAAUGUAUAAAAAUAUGCAAAAAAAUUUAAUUUUUUUCCUCAAUAACCAAAAUAUUUUUUUAAAAUCUAAUUAAUCCCAUUAGUAAACCCUAAAAGGAUUACAUAUUUUGGAAUUACAAAUAUCCUAAAAUUUAGGAUUUUAUUAAGAAUAGAAUUAGGAUUUUUUUUUUAUAUAUAGAGACAGUUUUGGUAAAUAUUCUUUUUUCAUUUUUUUUUUAUCUUUGUAAUUUGUAUUUUUCAUUUAUGUAUAGUUUCCAUUUUUUAUUUUUUACAUUUUAUGAUCAGAUCAGCUACAGCAAUAAUUCCAAAAGGCCUUAGUUAACUUAAGAGAAAUUAUUUAUUAAUUAAUAUUUUUCCGGCUUCGGAAUUAUUUUCAUAUAAGGGCCCAUUUGGCAAUUACAUGAAUUAAAAAUAGAGUAAUCUGAAAAUUCUGAUUACUCUGAAAUAUUUUACUUUAUUUUUUCGUGUUCGGAUAAAAUGUUGUAUCUUUUACGGAAUAGAAAAAAUGGUUAGUUAGUGUUCGUUAGAGUAUUUUUAAAACUCAUAUACCUAUACUAUUAUAUACCCUAAGAUAUACCUAACUACUACAUAUACAAUAUUAUAAUAUAAUUAUAUAUAUAUAUGUAAUGUACGUGCAAAUGCACGUAAUAAUUAUUAGAAAAAGUUAUAAUUUUUUAAAAAUUUAUUUUUUAAUUUAGGCCAUAUUUUUAUAUGAUUGCAAAUGGUGUAACUAAAAAUUUAAAUAAUAAAUCACACUAUUAAGAAAGAUAUGCUUUAAAUGAUAAAAAAUUAACAAUAAUCUCUAAUGCAAAAAUUAUUUUUGAAAUUAAAUAGAAAAAUAAAAUCUGUUAGGAAAUAAAUUUUGAAAUUAAAUAGAAAAAUAAAUCCGUUAUCUUAAAAAGAAAAUAUAUUUUUGAAAUUAAAAAUUAAAUAGAUAAUAUCUAAAAAAGAUAUUUUAAAAUAAAAUAGGAAAAUAUCUUUUAUAGGAUUUUCACACUCGUAAUCUGUUAUAGAAAAUUUACUUUUGAUAUUAAAUAGAAAAAUUUAUAUUUUAGGAUUUUCACAUCAGUAAUGUGUAAUAGAGAACUUACGUAUUCAUUGCUAUUUUUAUUUCUAUUUUUAUUCUUAUAUUUAAAAUUUUUCGUACGGAAAGAGAAAAAUAUGCGCUAAUUUUCCCGCCGAAAAAUGGGUCUGUCGACAGACCUAAAUUUGAAUAUACGUGCUUUUAUAUAUAUAUAUAUAUAUAUAUAUAUAUAUAUAUAUAUAUAUAUAUAUAUAUAUAUAUAUAUAUAUAAAAGAUUGAUCGAACUCGCCGUUAUGAUGUUAUAAAAAUGAUAAAAUAGUUUUAUAAUAUCCAAAAUUGAGGCCUCAUUCAAUGAAGUGCUUACUAAGGCACAAUUUUAGAAUGCACUUUUAGGAGAAAGCAAAUUCAUUCAAAUCUCUUUAAAAAUAAUGUAAAAAUAAUAGUUGUGUGCUCAUAAAAUAACUAUUUACUCCAAAAUUUUAAGCCGUAAGAAAAUAAUAUUUUAAUAUUUGUAAUUAUUUUUUUUCAAUUUUCUGCUCGGAACUAAUUAAAGGAACCGGCCGUGGAGUUACCAAAUAUGCCUUAAACCCACGUAGCAUACUAGCACAGUAAAAACAAAAUCUUUCAUAGAUGAAAAAAAAUAAAAAUAAUCAUAAAAAAUAAAUAUAAAAAUAAAAAAAUAAUAAAACGAACAAAAAAACACAAGAACAUAGAAUUUAUAUGGUUCGGCUAAUAAUGACUCGACCUGUGUUCACGGGCAAAAUAACCUCAAUACGUUUUUUGAUUAAUUCACAGUAUAAAAAUAUAAAAAGUGAAAUUAAAUUAUAAAGUACUCUGUCUCAAAAGAUGUUCAAUUUUUUUUUCCUCCACUAGAGUGUCUGUGAAGAAGCUCAUAUAUCUAAAUAUGAAUUAGAUAUAUGUUGGGAAUCCGGUACUCGCUCCGGUACCGGAUCUCGUGAAUCCGCAACCCGCUCCGAUACUGACUGCUGUGGAUCCGGUAUCGAUUGUUGGAAUUCCGCAACGGAAACGUCAAAUCGGAUUUUUUACCAUAAACCCGUCUCCUCAGCAAAAACUGAUAUAAUCAUAAAAGAGAAAAAUAUGCAGGUAAAAUAAGAUUCAUUAAAUAAGAGAAGAUUACACCUGACUUCUCUUCUGCAACAGAGUAGCUACAACCCGAGUCCUCUUUUUGAAUCUCUUCUAUUAUUCUCCCGUCUUUUAUAAACCUAAAAUACAAUCCAUCUACGUGCACUCGUGCACUAGGUGCACAAAAUAACUCUCUCUCUCUCUCUCUUUUUCUCUUUGCGUACUCUUCCCAAAAAGAGACUCUAAUGCAUUAUAUAUAAUUAAUGCUCCAUCAAGAAUGUACCCAAUUCUAAUAUAUUUAGAAUUCCUACUCUAAUAAAUAUUUAAAUCUGAAUUGAUUUAUCUCCAAUAGAUUUAAAUAUUUAUCCUAAUCUAGUUAGAUUCAUUCUCUAAUUAAUAUUUAAAUCUUAAUUUAUCUCAAACAGAUUUAAAUAUUAAUUCUUAUCUAAAUAAGAUUUAACUACAAAUCUAACCAAAUCCUAACAAUAUAUCCUUGUCACGAGUUUUCAAAGUAAUUUGUAAAAUUCUCGGCACGAGUUUUAUGGUCAAAAAAUAGCUCCAUGUAUGUAGAUUAUUUUUUUUUGGAGGUAUGUGUUCACACGUGCCCUAAUUAAUAAUGUGAUAGAAGAAUUAAAUCAGAGAAUAUGACUCGCAUGUUCCUGCGUCGUGACAAAGUCCAAAGUUGUACCACACAAAUAAUUGGAGUAUAUAAUAAAUAUCUUAGAAAAUCUAUAAGAAUGCGAUGGAAGUAUCAGAAUCGAUGACCGGCACUACCUUAAAUAUAAUCUAAACUCUUAAAAGUACUUAGAAAUUAAUUUUCAUGAUUUGUCGACAUUAAUUACCUAUAGAUCCAAUAGUUUCAAAAUGAAUGGUGGGAAAUAAAUAUAUCUAAAAAUAAUGACAAAUGACUUAAAUUUCAGAUCAGAUAUACUGAUGUUGUUCUAAAUAGUAAAAGAAAAAUCUAUCAACAUUUUAGUGAAUUUGGAUUGUUAAUUAUACACCGUUUAACUUACAUUUAAUUAUAUCAUUAAGAUUAUUAAUUUUGAGACCUUUUGAUCACUAAUCAGGUGAUGUCAAAAAAAAUAUAAAAUUUAAUUUUUGGAUAUUUUCAAUAGCGUAGAUUAUUUCUAGCAAAGAGCUGAUCGUCGAUUUGAAUGUUUUAUCAUAAAAAAUAAUUUGACAGUACUAGGAGGCUACCUUACUGAGUAGGGAUCUAUUUGCACAAGCAGUUUUUAAGUCACGCCCUGCAUACUUUUUACACAAGCUAAAAUUUAAUUAUAAAAGUUUCAAAAUAAAGUUCUUAACUCUUAAAAGUGAUUUACAAUAAAAAAGACAGCUUUAAACAAAAAAUUAGAAUUUUGAGUUUUCAAAUUUGGCUAUUUUUGAAAAUUAUGAAUUGUUGAUUUUAACACCACUUGAUACAUAGGGAAUCAGUUUUCAAAAAUUGUGAAAUUUUAUGAGCAUACAUUCUAGAUGUUCUUAAUCAUAUUAAUUGGUUUAGGUCUUAAUUUUAGAUUCUCUAAAUUUGAAUUUACACUUGUGUAAAAAUUUGUGUAACUUACAGAGCACAUCUCUUGUACUUUCGAAAAUACGGAGACCUCCGUGCUUGUAAGUUGUUUUCGAUAAUAGGACAUCCAUUUCGAUGAUCGGCUCCGUUAGAUAUAAUCUAUCCUAUUGGAGCUAUUUAGAAACCAAAUUUUAUAAUUUUUUGACAUCAUUUACUGCGCGAUCAAAAGGUCUCAAAAAUGACUAUUUUAAUGGCUGAUGUGGCUCGUUUUUAAAUUCAACGGUGUGGAAAUAUCCAAAUUAUAUGAAAAUUUAAUAAAAAUUUUACUUAAUAUAAAUAUCAAGAUCAAUACUUCCAAUUUGAAAUUUGAAUCAUUUAUUACUAUUUUUUAUGAUAUUUUUAAUUUCAGCCAUUCAUUUUGAGGCUACUUAUUCACUAGACAAACGAAUUCAAAAAUUUAUGAAAUUUGGUUUCUAGAUAGUUCCAAUAGCAUAGAUCAUGUUUAAUGGAAUUGAUCACUGAAUCAGAUGUCCCAUCAUCGAAAACAACUUACAAGCACAGAGGCCUCCGUACUUUUGAAUGUAUAUGAGCUAGCUCGUUACUUACAUAAAUGUUACCUGAUCUCUAUACUCUCUCUCUCUCUCUCUUUCUAUAUAUAAAGAGAGAGAGAAAGAGGAGAGGGAGUGAGACCAUUGCAAGACUACCAUCGUAAUAAAUAGCUCGAUUUACUAUCAAUUUAUUUUCGAUAAUAGAGUUUUCAAAUCGUCGAUCGGCAUCAUUGAAAAUAAUUUAGAUCAUUUAAAUUAUUUAAAAACUAAAUUUUAUACUUUUUUGCUUUUAUUAAUUGAACGAUCAAAAGAUCACAAAAUUUUUAAUUUUAAUAGCUGAUACGAUGCGCUUGCUCGUUUAGAGUUGAUGUAGCGUAUUUGAAGUAUUUGGUAAAUAAAUUUUGCUAUUUUUUGAUAUUAUUUAUCUAGUGAUCAAAAGUGUUCAAGUCUAACGGAGCCGUUCAUCGAUUCGAAAGAUCCAUCGUAGAAAACGGCUUAAGAGCACGGAGGCCUCCGUGCUCCUAAUAUCACACAAGACCUGUCAUAUAUAAAUACAUAUAUAUAUAUAUAGAGAGAGAGAGUUGAGCUGCAAUACUAUUAAUAGUAUUUGAGCUUUUUUACUAUCGAUUUUUUAGCCAUUAGAUCUAUAUUUUAAUUAAUUCCACUAUUUAGAUCAUACUAUUCAACCAACCACCGCUAAACCCUAGGGGACCACUAUUAUCCUAAUCCCACAAUUUUUCAUCCAACGAUGAAAAAUUCGAUAGCAAAAGAGCCCAUAUAGUAUUCUAGCUCAAUUAUAUAUAUAUAUAUAUAUAUAUAAUUGAGCUCCUAUGCUUUUAAAAGUACCAAGUCAUUGGUACUUGUAAGUUUUCGGCUCUUGGAUUAAGGAAUGUGCGGUUAGGAUGAUGUGGUUGGGUGAAUAGUAUAAUCUAACGGGUAAAAAUGAUCAAAGGCGUAGAUCCAUCGGUAAAAAAUUUACAAGCACCAAAUACUUGUGCUUUUACAAGUACCAUAGCCGGACUCUAUAUAUAUAUAUAUAUAUAUAUAUAUAAUUACAUAUAUAUUAUAUAUAUAUAUAGUUGGGCUGGUAUGCUUAUGGAAGCACGGAGCCCUCCGUGUUCCAAGUUGUUUUCGAUGUUCGGACUUUCGAAUCGACGGAUCGGCUCCGUUAAGUUGAUCUAGAGUAUUUGAAGUACCUAGAAAAUAAAUUUUGUGAUUUUUCGAUAUCAUUUGCCUAAUGAUCGAAGGCUCCAAAAUCAAUAUUUUAAUGGCCGUGGUGAGCCGGUUGCAAGUUUAACGGUGUAGAAAUAUCUAAAUCAUAUGAAAUUUUGAUAAAAAAUUCUUUAUACUAUAUAAAACAAGAUCAAUAAUUUUGAUCUAAAAUUUUAUUGUAUAUCAUCAUAUUUUGUAAGAUUUUUAUUUUCAGCCGUUGAUUUGAGCCACUUCGAUCACUAGGCAAAUGAUAUAGAAAAAUCGCAAAAUUUAUUUUCUAGAUACUUCAAAUACUCUAGAUCAAGUCUAACGGAGCCGAUCAUCGAUUCGAAGUCCGAACAUCGAAAAUGAAGUGGAAGCACGGAGCCCUCCGUGCCUUCCAUAAGCAUUCUAGCCGCACUAUAUAUAUAUAUAUAUAUUAUAUAUAUAUUAUAUGAGAGAAUUCUGCUACUAUACUAUUAAUAGUAUCAAACCUUGGUACUUCGAGUUUUCGGCCGUCGAAUGAAAAGGAUGUGCGUUAAUGAUAGUGGUCCCUAGUUAAAUUGAUAGUGGUCCCCUAGGUUGAAUGUGUGGGUUGGUUUAAUAGUAUAAUCUAACAGGUGAAAAUGAUCAAAAGGUAGAUUAACGGUGAAAAUCAAUAGUAUAAGGGCUUGUACUAUCGAUAGUAUAGUAGCCGGACUCUAUAUUAUAUAUAUAUAUAUAUUAUAUAUAUAAUAUGCUCCUAUACUAUCAAUAGUACCAAGUCUUUGGUACUAUUGAGUUUUUGCGUUGGAUGAAAGGAUGUGCGGUUAGGAUGAGUGGUCCCUAGGUUGAGUGGGUGGUUGGUUUAAUAGUAUAAUCUAACGGGUGGAAAUGAUCACAUGGUAGAUCUAACGGUAGAAAACUCUAUAGUACCAAAGGCUUGGUACUAUCAAUAGUAUAAUAGCCGGACUCUUCUCUCUCUCUCUCUCUCUUCUCUCUCUCUCUCUAUAUUAUAUAUAUAUAUUAUAUAUAUAUUAUAUAUAUAGCUCGCCGGAAUACUAUCGAUAGUACUAAGCUAGCGUUUUGUAAUAUUAAGUUUUUCACUAUUUGAUUUACCUUUUACUAUUUUUAUCCGUUAGAUUAUACUAUUAAACCAAUAACUCACUCAACCUAUGAGGCCAUAUCAUCCUAAACGUAUAUUUUUUCGUCCAAUUGUCGAAAAUCUAAUAGCACCAAUAGCUUGAUGCUAUUAAUAGCAUUCCAGCCUAUUCUUAUAUAUAUAUACAGAGUUGAGCUAUUAAUACUAUCAAUAGCAAACGGGCUCCGUUGCCACUCAUUUGUUUUCGAUGAUAGAGCCUCCAAAUCGACGAUCGGCAUCAUUGAAAUAUGAUCUAUACCACUUGAAGUGUUUAGAUCAAAUUUCAAAUUUUUCAACAUCAUUUGCCUAAUAAUCAAAGGGUUUCAAAAUUUGUAAUUUAAUGGUCGAUAUGAGGCGUUUUCUUGUUUAACGGCAUAAAAAUAUCCAAAUCAAUUAAAUUUUUGUUAAAAAUUCUUUAAACUAUUUAAAACAAGAUCUAUACUCUUGAUCUUGAUUACAAGACUCUUAUCAUCAUUUUUUUAAGAAUAUUCAUUUUCAGCCGUUCUUUUGUGUCCCUCGAUGGAUAAAUGAACAAUAUAAAAAAUUGUGUGAAAUUUGAUUCUAAAUACUUCAAAUGGUAUAGAUCAUGUUGAACGGUGCGAUCAUCAAUUUGUAGGCUCUAUCAUCGAAAACAAAUGGGUGGCAAAAGAGUUCGUUUGCUAUCGAUAGAUCUGCCUCAACUAUAUAUAUAUAUAUAUAUAUAUAUAUAUAUAUAUAACAAUUAACAACUAUGAAAGUUCAAAUAUCUGCCUCAAAGAAUUCGAAAGAUGCAUGCUAUUGCGGAAAUAAGUGACAAUAAUUUUGUCGCCACUUUCGGCAUUUAAUGGCGACAUUUGAUAAAUUCGAUGGUAACUAUUUUUGUCACAUGUAGUGAGAAAAUUUCUUAAGGGAUUUAAGUAACCAAGAGUAAUUUUUCGUAUUCAGUUGGUGCGAAGCAGUUUUCAAUUGGUAUGUUAUCUUCUCAAUGAAGAUAUAUACAAGUCAAGAAAAGAUCACUCGGAUUUUAGCAGGCCAUAAUGUAGAAAGAUACACACUUUUUAAUUGGUGUUGAUUGAGUACUGAUGUAUCCUUUUGAGAGGAUUUGGGCUCAAAUUAUUAUUUUUAUCCCUUUAGUCAUAAUCAAUUUGAUGUUGUUUGAUUUGAUUAAUUUGACGAUCGGAACAGUUGAAAAUAUUUUAGAGUAUUUAAAGUGAGUAGAAACUAAUUUUUUUAGAAUUUCUCAAUUUAUGCAUUCUGCUCUAUAUCACGCUGUCUUAAAUUUGAUUAUUUUACAGAUUGAUUAGAUGUAACUUGGCCUCUUGACGCAGGCCUAAUUAAGGCACGUUGAAACGGAAGAAGUAUAAGGACAGAAUGAGAGAGAUUUAUGCGAAAAAACCAAUUCUUUCACAAAGACAAAAAUAUUAUCAAUUUAUUCUCAAAACUUUUAUUACAUUAACUGAGUGCCAUGUCUAUAUAUAUAGGCGAUACUCCAAUCCUACUAGAUAAAAUAAUAAAUUCUAAUAUAUUUUUAAAUCUAAUCAGAUUACAAAUAAUCAAAUAAUUGGAUCAAAAUAAAAAAAAAUAUAAUUUUUUUUUGGAAAUAAUCUAAAAAUGCCAGAAUGCAUGGCUUUGCCAUUCGACAUGUAGAUCUUAAAAAAUAUAUUCCAAAUUAGGAUUGCACGCUGAAAUCGAAUAUUCAAGCGAAAGUUUUAGCCGUUUAAAGAUAUCUAGGCUCAGUUUGGUUAAGUCGUGUUUUCUCAUAAACUCUAAUACUAAAUUAGCCGCAUCACCUCUAUACUUAAAACAUGCUACUCUUCUAUACAUGUGUAGAGUUUAUAGCACUACAAGCCUCUUCCGAUAUAUAUAUAUAUAUAUAUGACACUUUACGGAAUACAUUUAAGUAGCUAGGAUGGGAUGGAGGGCUGAGGGAGGAAAGGGUCGCGUUGGGGGACGAGUAGGGCGGGAUUGAAGGCGGAGAGUAGGAUGAGGGCGACAGUGACGAGGGCAGAGACGAGGGACAAGACGAGCAUUAUUGCGUUCGGUACACCGCCUUUCACCUCUUGUGCGUACUUCUCGGCCGCCAGUGCCAGCACCGUCAGUGGAAAAGAGUACGCCCACCAUGCCAGACUGAAGGUCCUCAUUGAUCGCCAAAAUAGCAUCGGUCGUGAGACCUGCAUAAAUAAUUGUGUUUAUUAGGUCAAUGUACAUACAUUAGGUCAAUGUGCAUAUAUUAUUGUGUUCACUUUUGUGACGACGGCAGAGUGCGACUCUUCUCUACAAAAAUUUUUUGAGACUGUGGUGAGCCACGUAAUUCAGUUCUUGCAUUAAUUUCUUUCUGUCUAAAAGUUUUUUGUCAAAAUCAUAACACCUUAUUAAAUAGCAGAUUUAGAAAACAUCACUAGAGAAAAAUGAGGUGGUCCUUAUUCAAGUUGUUUUUUUUUUUUGGGUGGGGCCGGAUGGAUGUAUGCAUGCAUUUCUCAACAUGCAAUUAAUGGGCGAAUUUCUUUGCCUAUAUAAAACAUAUAUCUCAUAAUAUUAAUAGAUAUAUUAAAAUCAAAAUAUAACUCAUUAAUGCUUCAACUACUAAUUAUUGAGACUAAUUGAUUCCUUAUUAGUAACUAGUUUCGCACUUAAAAAUUUUAUUCAUAUAUUCCUUAGAUAAUGUACGUAGAUAAUAGUUAUCAUAUUAAUAGAUUUUGAUUUUGAAAUUUUAAUAGCCAAAUAGCAGGUGCAAACAUAUGAAGUGUACAUCUAUAGACACCACGUGGAGGCAAUAAUUCUCAUGCAUUGAUGGAUUCAUAUAUAAGCAAGUUAUUGCGUGCGCAAACACGACUUAAAUCAUAUUUAAUCAUAAUCAAUUUGGAUACCCUCUUCCCAGAAAAUCAAAAGAUUCUGGAAAUAAAUAAUCACGUUUAUUUUUUUAAAAUUAUUUUUGUAUAUAUAUAUAUAUAUAUAUAUAGAGUUGAGCUAUGAUACUUUUACAAGUAUCACCAUCAUUGUGCUAUUAGGUUUUAAGCCAUUGGAUCUACUUUUUGAUUAUUAAUAGUCCUUGGAUUAAACACUAUUUCACCUACCACCACCUACCACCAUCAUCUCAACCUCACAUCUCUCCAUCCAAGGGCUAAAAACACACAAGUAUCACCCCCAUGAUACUUUUACAAGUAUUCUAGCCCUACUCUCUCUCUCUCUCUCUCUCUCUCUCUCUCUCUCUCUCUCUCUCUCUCUCUCUCUCUCUAUAUAUAUAUAUAUAUAUAUAUAUAUAGCUAGGUUGUUAUACUAUCAAUAGCACGAAGAUCUCCGUGCUAUCAAUUUAGUUAUUUUUGAUGAUACGGUUUUCAAAGUGAUGAUCGGUUUUCUUAAACACCAUCUAUGCUAUUCAAAAUAUUUAGAAACCAAAUUUUAUAUUUUUUUCGAUAUUAUUUAACAAUUUUAAUGGCCGAUGUAAUGCGUUUAUAAAUUUAACGGUAUAAAACAAUUCAAAUCUAAAGAAAUUUUUAUAGAAAAUUCUCUUCACUAUUUACAGUAAGAUCAGUAUCUCUGAUUUUAAAUUUAAAUUUUUUAUCAUUAUUUUUUAUGAGAUUCUUAGUUUCAGCCGUUCAUUUUUAGACUACUCGUUUGAUAAGUAAAUGAUGUUGAAAAAUUAUAAAAUUUAGUUUUAUAAUAUUUUCAAUAGAGUAAAUCAAGUCUAGCAGAGCCGAUCGAUCGUCAAUUUGAAAGCUGCGUUAUUAUUAUUAUUAUUUUUGAAAAAUAGGUAAUAUGCUACCCGCUUCAUUUAUUUUAUUUAGAAAUAAAUUAACUUAGCUGAAACUAUGAAUCAAGUAGGAUUCGAACUUGGAAUCUCAGAUACCAACCACCAAUCCCUUUGCCACAUGCUCUAGGGACAGUUGGUGAAAGAUGCAUUAUUAAAAAUAAUUUAGUAGCACGAACACCUCUAUACUACUGAUAUAGUAUACCAGCUAUAUUUUCUCUCUCUCUUUAAAAUAUACACAACUACAUGAUAUCACUUACACUGAUGUGUAUUUCGAGAUGUGAAAGUAAACAAUCAUGUUUACUUUUAAAAAUAUUCUAACUAACCUAAUUAUUUGUAUAUUUAGAGCAAUAUAUGAUGUGGUAUACAUUGACCAUCUCUUACGCAGGUGAUAAAAGGCUUAAAUUGUCGGUAUCCAAAAUCCCUGAUUAGUUGAGCUAAGUUAUUUAAUGGUUGAUAUCUAAAAUUCCAAAUUCAAAAUUUAAUUAACCUAAUUAACUUUAUUUCUUAAAUAAAAAAAAACACAGGCCUAAAAAAUAGAGAAAAAAAAAAAGACAAAGAACAUGAUGUCACAAAAAAACAAAAGAAGCUACGUACUUCCCCCUUGUGCACGUGUUUUUAUUUUUAUUUUUUAUUUUUUUCUUUUUGGUCUAAAUAUUAAUUUGACAGAUAAUUUUGUUUUUGUUUUUUUGUUUUCGUGGUCUAAACUUUUGACAAAUAAUUUUGCCUUUUUCUUAGAACCUGGACUGCUGUUUUCCUACGCAAGCUAGCUGGAGACCUCCUUUGACAAAUUAAGAAGAAUCCUAAAACCUACAUUAUUUUGGCCUCUCCUUGAUAUUUGCAUUUUAAUUAAUGGUUUAAAUUUUCAUAUAUUUUUUUUACCGUACACCUCUUUUGUCAUCUUUGUAAUUAGCAGUGCACAAUGACGUAUUUGUUUCUUACUAGACCACUCUUUUGAAUAAAAGAUGAAAAAUCAUAUAUAUGUUACUCGCGCGUAUUUGGUGCUUCUGUAUAUUCGUGCACCAUAUAUCUAUACUAAUAUAUUAACUACUACAAAUUCAUGAUUUAGCGGCAUUUACUCUGCAGCAUUUAUUUAAAUAAUGCUAAUUAAUAUAUUUAACAGCAUUACUUGAUAAGUGCCGCUAAAUUUAAUAAUUUAGCAGUAAUUUACUGUUAAUGUUGCAAAAUAAAAUAAAUUAGCAGUAUAAAUUAGUGAAUGCCGCCGAAGUUUUCAGCAUUUUAUAAAAAAUGAUACUAAAUAUAAUAAAGUAGUAGCACUUAUUGCUAAAUGGCGCAAUAUUUGCUCCGCGAUAUUUAUUUAAAUCAUGUCAAUUAAUAUAUUUAGCAACAUUACUUGAUAAUUGCCGCUAGAUUUAAUUAUUUAGCAGCAAUUUGCUAUUAAUGUUGUAAAAUAGGAUAAAUUAGCAGCAUAAAUUAGCGAAUGCCGCUAAAUAUAAUAAACUAACGGCAUUUGUUACUAAAUAUCAUUACUAAUUAAUAUAUAAUUAUUAAUAAUUCCUUUUUUAUUUAGAAUAAAAAAUUUUAAAAUUAAAGUUUAAAAGUUGAAACAUAUAAGUUUAAAAAUUAAACUUAUAAUUUAAAAUUUAAAAUUCUAAAAUUUAUAUUUUAAAUUUUAAAUUCUAAAAUUAUUAAUUUUAAAAUUUUAAAAUUUUAAAUUUAUUUUAAAUUUUAAAUUUUAAAUUUAAAACUAUUAAUUUUGAAACUUAAAAUUUCAUAUUUCAAAAUUUAAAAUUUAAAUUUAGUAUCUAAAUUUUAAAAUUUUAAAAUUUUAAAAUUUUAAAAUUUUAAAACAGAAGACUUAAAAUAUAAAAAAUUAAAAUAUACAUAACUAAUAGUCGCUAGAGUAAGUGGCAAAGGAUUUGGUUGUUGGUAUUCGAGGUCUCAAGUUCAAAUCCUAGUUGAUUCACAAUUUUAGUAAAAUUUAAGACAAAAACAAAUAAAUGAAGCGAGUAGCAUCUCAAAAAAAUUAAAAUUUUAAUUCUAAAAUUUUAAAAUUUUAAUUCUAAAAUCAGAUAUUUGUAUUAGCGGUAUUAUAUUUAUGUGCCUCUAAUAAAUAAUUUAAAAUUAGCAUUUAAUCCCUUUUAGUGGCAUAUUCCUAAUGACACUAAUUAAUUUAUAUUGGCGGCAUUUAUAAUUAAUAUUGCUAAUACUUUUAGCAACAUUGGCAUAGACAGCAUUUGUGUCAUAUGCUGCUAAAAUUUUUAACAAUAUUUGUUGAUCAUUUAGCAGCAUAAAUAAAUGUCACUAAUGCCUAAUUAAUUUUCUAGUAGUGAUAUAUCAUAAUUUGCUUUUCAGGAGAUUACCAAUCGCUGAGACUACGGUUCAAUCGACGAGAAAUUAUUCUUAAAUCUUGGGAUAUUACAAUAUAUGUCAUUUUCUACCGCUUUGGUUUUUAAAAAUUUUUUAAAAAAUUCUUAUUUUUAACUUAAAAAGGACGUAAAGUAAUUUUUCAGCCGGAAUUGAAUGUGUCACGUACCAGGCAAAGGAAGAGGAAGAAUGAGAGGAAGAAGAGCAUCUUCGCGGCGGUGUCGAAGCCACCGCUGCCGGAGAUGGCGGCCCAGGCAACGCUGGCGGUGGCGGGGGCGGCGAAGAAUAAGAAGAACACCGGGCGGAGCAGUGCCGGGAGGAGGCUCUCGCUCCCCGCGAGGCGUUGGUACAGCGUCACGAAAAGUACGAGGUAGUGGGCCAAGCCCACCGUAAACAUGCACGUCGCAAUCUCCUUCAAGUCCGUGUCCGUCGUCGCCGCUGCCGCCGCCGCCGCCAUGUUCGCGAUCACCGUCAUCUGGCUCGUCGGGUUCGCCACCGCCGACAGGCAGUACCUCCGGCCCCUUAUAAACCACUGCCCGUACACUUUCACGUCCAGCACCAGAAUUGGGACCGCAAACNACUCUUAGAUAUUUAUUUGCAUUCAUUAAUUAUUAUUUUGUUGUUCUCUUGAAUGCUGCUGUCAUAAUACUAGUAUUUUCUAACGGUUUAAGUUAUUAAAAAGAAAAUUGGUAGAAAUGUACAAAACAUAAUUAAAUUAUAAAUUAUUUUGAUUUGGUUAUUUAAUUUUUUAAAAAUUUGAUUUCAGUAUAUAAUCUUUCUGUCUGUUUGUUUUGAAUCAGUCGCGACAUUUUAAGCAUAAAGUUUAUUCAUUAAAAUGUAAAAAUAAACAACACAUUUAAAUUUUAAAGUCAAAGUGUCAAUCACUGGCUCAAAAUAAAAUGUAUGCAUGCAUCUAUGUAUAGAGAGAUAAACAGUUAUUUUAUAUGUACUACAUACCAGAGGACGUGGUACGCGGGGCUCUCGGGACGGAGGAAGGGCGAGGAGGCGCACUGGAGGAGGAGGAGCGCGGAGGCCCAUGGGGCGAAGAGGUAGUUGACGCCGAUGUGGUGGCCGAGCUCGGCCUUAAAGCACUCGAAGCGGCAGGUGCAGCGAAUUGCGUAAAGAGCACAAAGCACGACGAGGGACGACAGUGCGAAGGACCAGAGAACGUCGAAGGCGGCGACGGGGAGGAGGUGGAGGAUAAAGUGGAGCGCCCGAGGGUCGGCGGCGGAGAGGGUCUUCCAUAGUAGGGCUUGGCCGCAGAGGGAAAGGCUUAUGCGAAAGUAACCCGCGUGGAAUCUCGUUAAAACUGACAGCUUCUGCAUAAGUGCUUUUUGAACAUGUUCUUCUCCGGGGGGAUGCAGAUUUUCUGAAUAUCGAUGCUCCAUUAGUUACUUGCUAGAGAGAGAAUGAAGUAAAGAGAGAGAAUGAAGUAAGGGGAUAGCAUACAAUAUUGGUUGUUGGUAAGUUCUAUUACUUAUUUGCAUGUAUUUAUAGAGAGGGGGGAGAGAGAGAGAGAGAGAGUAUAUUAGGUGGAACACACAAUUAAAAAUUGAAUUGAGAACACUGAAAGCAGGGGCGGAGCCAUUGGGGGCCACAGUGGUCAUGGCCCCCCUAUAUCUUUGAAAAUUACAUAUUAGUCCUUUAUAAUAAAAAAAUAAAAUAUUAUAAAUUUUAAUUUUAAGGGGCCAAAUUAAUAUUUUUAAUAAAAUUUGUGUCUUAAUUUUUUUUCAAGUUUUUUGGUUCUUUUUCUUCAACUAUUACAGUCUUAUUCCUCUUUAAGCAUUUUGUCGUUAUUAGUGAAUCUGACAAUUUUUUUUUUUUUCACUAUUCGUGGUCGAAUUUUUCUCCUAUCAAAAUUUAAAUCUUGGCCCUCCCGAAUCUUAAUAUCUCGCUUAAAUUUGUCCCUGAGUGAAAGUGAUGCAAAGGUCAAACUAUGUAUUCAAAUGCAUCAAUGAGGUUUCUAUGAGAAAUAUGUAACAUUCCAAUCAAAUUUUGAUAGUUUUGGUUGAAAAGUUGAAUUAAUUAAACAUAUAUAUAUAUAUAUAUAUAUAUAUAUAUAUAUAUAUAGUAGAGGUAUUAUACUAUCGGAAGUAUAAAAAAGUUGGUGCUUUCGAUUUUUUAGCCCUUAGAUGAACCCCAUUGAUCAUUUCUAACCAUUGGAUUAAUAUUAUUAACCAAUGGGGACCACUCAACCCUAGGGGGAUCACUCAACCCUAAAGGGACCGCUAUAAUCCCAAUCGUAGAAUUUUUGAUCCAAGGGCUAAAAAAUCAGAAGCACCAACUACUUUAUGCUUCCAAUAACAUAGUAGCUCUACACUAUAUAUAUAUAUAGUCUAGUAUUAUACUAUCGAUAAUACUAAGCACUUGAUGCUAUCGAGUUUUUCGCCAUUAGAUCUACCUCUUCAAUUAUUUCCACCCAUUAAAUCAUACUAUUCAACCAAUCACCUACUCAACCCAUGGAGCCACUAUCAUCUUAACGUAUAUACAAUUAGGCUACUAUACUAUUA
RNAcentral lists this long non-coding RNA (22210 nucleotides) under Ananas comosus (pineapple). Its description in RNAcentral is "long non-coding RNA (ACOM_LNC023940)". The record is from RNAcentral. Lineage: Eukaryota; Viridiplantae; Streptophyta; Magnoliopsida; Poales; Bromeliaceae.